RNAcentral lists this ribosomal RNA (466 nucleotides) under uncultured bacterium. Its description in RNAcentral is "partial 16S ribosomal RNA". It matches the Rfam family "Bacterial small subunit ribosomal RNA", at positions 28 to 507 of the family's 1533-position model. The record is from RNAcentral.
GAUGAACGCUGGCGGCGUGCUUAACACAUGCAAGUCGAACGGAAAGGCUCCUGCUUGCAGGGGUACUCGAGUGGCGAACGGGUGAGUAACACGUGGGUGAUCUGCCCUGCACUUCGGGAUAAGCCUGGGAAACUGGGUCUAAUACCGGAUAGGACGAUGGUUUGGAGGCAAUGGGGGAAAGUUUUUUCGGUGUGGGAUGAGCUCGCGGCCUAUCAGCUUGUUGGUGGGGUAAUGGCCUACCAAGGCGUCGACGGGUAGCCGGCCUGAGAGGGUGUACGGCCACAUUGGGACUGAGAUACGGCCCAGACUCCUACGGGAGGCAGCAGUGGGGAAUAUUGCACAAUGGGCGCAAGCCUGAUGCAGCGACGCCGCGUGGGGGAUGACGGCCUUCGGGUUGUAAACUCCUUUCGCUAGGGACGAAGCGCAAGUGACGGUACCUGGAGAAGAAGCACCGGCUAACUACGUG